UCUGGAAAGGCGCGCGAUACAGGGUGACAGCCCCGUACACAAAAAUGCACAUGCUGUGAGCUCGAUGAGUAGGGCGGGACACGUGGUAUCCUGUCUGAAUAUGGGGGGACCAUCCUCCAAGGCUAAAUACUCCUGACUGACCGAUAGUGAACCAGUACCGUGAGGGAAAGGCGAAAAGAACCCCGGCGAGGGGAGUGAAAAAGAACCUGAAACCGUGUACGUACAAGCAGUGGGAGCACGCUUAGGCGUGUGACUGCGUACCUUUUGUAUAAUGGGUCAGCGACUUAUAUUCUGUAGCAAGGUUAACCGAAUAGGGGAGCCGAAGGGAAACCGAGUCUUAACUGGGCGUUAAGUUGCAGGGUAUAGACCCGAAACCCGGUGAUCUAGCCAUGGGCAGGUUGAAGGUUGGGUAACACUAACUGGAGGACCGAACCGACUAAUGUUGAAAAAUUAGCGGAUGACUUGUGGCUGGGGGUGAAAGGCCAAUCAAACCGGGAGAUAGCUGGUUCUCCCCGAAAGCUAUUUAGGUAGCGCCUCGUGAAUUCAUCUCCGGGGGUAGAGCACUGUUUCGGCAAGGGGGUCAUCCCGACUUACCAACCCGAUGCAAACUGCGAAUACCGGAGAAUGUUAUCACGGGAGACACACGGCGGGUGCUAACGUCCGUCGUGAAGAGGGAAACAACCCAGACCGCCAGCUAAGGUCCCAAAGUCAUGGUUAAGUGGGAAACGAUGUGGGAAGGCCCAGACAGCCAGGAUGUUGGCUUAGAAGCAGCCAUCAUUUAAAGAAAGCGUAAUAGCUCACUGGUCGAGUCGGCCUGCGCGGAAGAUGUAACGGGGCUAAACCAUGCACCGAAGCUGCGGCAGCGACGCUGAUGCGUUGUUGGGUAGGGGAGCGUUCUGUAAGCCUGCGAAGGUGUGCUGUGAGGCAUGCUGGAGGUAUCAGAAGUGCGAAUGCUGACAUAAGUAACGAUAAAGCGGGUGAAAAGCCCGCUCGCCGGAAGACCAAGGGUUCCUGUCCAACGUUAAUCGGGGCAGGGUGAGUCGACCCCUAAGGCGAGGCCGAAAGGCGUAGUCGAUGGGAAACAGGUUAAUAUUCCUGUACUUGGUGUUACUGCGAAGGGGGGACGGAGAAGGCUAUGUUGGCCGGGCGACGGUUGUCCCGGUUUAAGCGUGUAGGCUGGU
RNAcentral lists this ribosomal RNA (1181 nucleotides) under Escherichia coli. RNAcentral's name for it is "partial 23S ribosomal RNA". It matches the Rfam family "Bacterial large subunit ribosomal RNA", at positions 341 to 1529 of the family's 2925-position model. The record is from RNAcentral. Lineage: Bacteria; Pseudomonadati; Pseudomonadota; Gammaproteobacteria; Enterobacterales; Enterobacteriaceae.